GGAAGGGCAUUUGUCAGACAUGGUGUUUUGUGCCCUCUGCUCCUUGUGGGUAGGGGAAUCUCGCAUUUCACUGGGCCAGCAUCAGUUUUGGUGGCAGGAUAAAUCCAUAGGAAUGUAGCUUGCCUCGGUAAGUAUUAUAGCCUGUGGGAAUACUGCCAGCUGGGACUGAGGACUGCGACGUAAGUCAAGGAUGCUGGCAUAAUGGUUAUAUGCCGCCCGUCUUGAAACACGGACCAAG
This 238-nucleotide ribosomal RNA is filed under the name Saccharomyces cerevisiae (brewer's yeast). RNAcentral describes it as "partial 26S ribosomal RNA". The record is from RNAcentral. Lineage: Eukaryota; Fungi; Ascomycota; Saccharomycetes; Saccharomycetales; Saccharomycetaceae.